CCUACGGGAGGCAGCAGUAGGGAAUAUUGCUCAAUGGGGGAAACCCUGAAGCAGCAACGCCGCGUGGAGGAUGAAUGUUUUAGGAUUGUAAACUCCUUUUGUUAGAGAAGAUUAUGACGGUAUCUAUCGAAUAAGCACCGGCUAACUCCGUGCCAGCAGCCGCGGUAAUACGGAGGGUGCAUGCGUUACGCGGAAUGCCUGGGCUUAAAGAGUGAGUAGGCGGGGUACUAAGUCAGAUGUGAAAUCCUGUAGCUUAACUACAGAACUGCAUUUGAAACUGGUACUCUGGAGUGUGGGAGAGGUAGGUGGAAUGCUUGGUGUAGGGGUAAAAUCCGUAGAGAUCAAGAGGAAUACUCAUUGCGAAGGCAACCUGCUAGAACGUUACUGACGCUGAUGCACGAAAGCGUGGGGAGCAAACAGGAUUAGAUACCCGAGUAGUC
Molecule: ribosomal RNA, 440 nt
Filed under: uncultured bacterium
Lineage: Bacteria
Description: partial 16S ribosomal RNA
Rfam family: Bacterial small subunit ribosomal RNA
Source: RNAcentral